Long non-coding RNA from Gopherus evgoodei (Goodes thornscrub tortoise), 2465 nucleotides. RefSeq lists it as uncharacterized. The record is from RefSeq and is a predicted model, not a curated record. The transcript is spliced from 3 exons. Lineage: Eukaryota; Metazoa; Chordata; Testudines; Testudinidae.
GGCAGGUGCAACUUCAAUUGCUGCUGCCAACGUGUGAUGGAGAGGCACUCGAGGGGAUCAUCCUCCUCCGCUACCAUGGAGCCCACUACCAGGUGCAUUAUUCCACAGGGGAGGCCCAGUGCUACCUCUGCCAGGAGAUGGGACAUGUCUGGAGGGACUGCCCCUUGGCCCAGCAUAGAGGAUGUAAAGAAACAAUGUUCCAGGGGAGUCAGAAGGGUCUAAUGAUUAUGGCACUGGACUAAGAAUCAGGAGAACUGGAUUCUAUUUCUGCCUUGCUGGGUUGUUAAACCCUGGGAACUGCUGAAAGCAAAUUUAAUCGGACUAUAUCCAGUACCACAGAAGUGAUACCAGUUAGUACUGACAGCUACAGAUGAUUUUUAAAAAGCGGUAGAAGAAUUUCCACUUAGAACUAUGACAGCACAAGAGGUGAAGAAGAAGACACGUAAAAUUAUAUAACAUCAUGGCUGUGCAGAGCAGACACUGGCAGAUCUAGGUUCUGAAUUGAAUAAUGAGGUAACAGUUUACAUUUUCACUGUAUGGUCAAUUACACAAUCAUGGCCGUGUGACAGGGCUGUUAGCAGCUACAGACUGAGCCCUUUGGAAGGCACCCUGGUCACUGAGAACACCCAGGGCACCAGGUGCACUUAGAGGAGGAGGGACUGAGCAGUUUCAGCUUGGAAGGGUAGAGGGGAUCACUUGCACGUGUAGGGAGCCUGAUGAGGUCACUAGCUCACAGCUGAGAAGAAAGCAGCAGUAUAAAAUUCUCAGUUGGAGCAGGAAGCGGCUCCUUUUAACUGCUGCUAUGUUGUGAUGAACCAUAAAAAGUCAUAAAGACACUUGGUGGAAGUUCCCUGGCAGACUGCAGGCUGCUUCAUUCACAGAGAGCUCUGCCAGCCAGGGUUGCAGGAACUGAUGGGGGAGCCCAUUCAGAGUUAGAAAUUUAAAAAGGAACAUUGCCUGCAAUCUCUUAUGACACUUCAUGCUGUAAAUUGUGAGGGACAACACAUUUUUGUGUCUUGUCAUAUAGUAAAAACCAUGUUAUAUAUUAACCUAUUUGCCAGCAUAUUUCCCCAUGUAAUAACACAACAAAAUUGGAUUUGGGAACACAGUAUUACACAUAAUUCAGUGAGAACUAGGGAAAGGAACGCAGAUAUUUCUGAAGGAAAUUUUAUGGAAAAAUGAUCUAUUUUUAGAUUAAAAUUUCCCUAUGUUAAAAAUUAAGAAACACACAAUGUUUCAGGAGCCCAUGCCACCUAGACACCAGUAGACUGAAUCAAAAGCACAAAUGGCUCCAUUAAAAGAUAAUUUUAGGGUAUUUAUUUUCAAAUAAUCAAGGUACGUUUAGGGCACUCUGCCAUGGAUGGCAUAUUGUGAAUAAAUCUUCAAACCUGAAUAAUUACAUUGAAAAUGUUCAUAAUGCAUCAAGUUUAAAACAAAAAGGAGUCCUAGCAAUGCCAUGUGAUGUGCCUCCCCUCAGACUCUGCUCAGCUAGAUCUUCAAGAAAUUAGGUAAACAGCUAAUUUCAUAGAAUUCGAUCAAUCAGUCACUAUUUUUACAGAGCUUUAGAGAAAGUGGUGGACAAAACCCAGAGGAAUUGUGAUGAAUUUCCUGGAGAAACUUUCUUUUCUUUGUACUCUAAACUUCACAUGACAACAAAAAUAUCCCCCUUUUGACUGAUCUAGGGCCAAGAAGAAAGGGUUGCCAAAAAAAACUUCACCAAAUUUCAUGUUAUGUGUCAUUAAGUGCCGGCAUCUUUAAUACAGUUCAGUUAAGGUGUGAUGAUUGAGUAAAGGAAUACAACCCCUUCUCUAUUUCUUUAUCAAACUACAUUUGUUGUGUCCUUAUAACCAAGAACAUGAAGAGCCUGGCAGUACACUGAAAUCAACAGUGGAUACUUACAGUACAUUGUCUGCAAAUAAUCUGCCUUAAGAAAAAUAAACUAAAAACUGGAGAUUUUAGAAGAGAUUUCUAUCAAUAGGAAUAGAGCGUUUGAAGUUGGGGACCAUGUUUUGUUAAUUGAUGUAAGAAAAAGAAAGGAAGGGUGAUAUCUUGAUUACCAAUUAAAUGUAGCUAGAAAGUUAAAAAUCACAUGAAUUAAUGCUGACAGAAGUUCAAAGAUUAUUAUAUAAUCUUGUGUGAGUUAACUUAAAUAUAUAGCUUAAUUAAUUCUAUCAUUUUUUCAACAUUUAAUUUUCAAAGGUGUAGUGCAGGAGGUGGAUGUAUGUGUCCUGCCAUCCAGAGAGAACCAGUCAAGACAAUAAAGAGUGGGGGAGAGGGAGAGAGAGAGAGAAACCAGCUGCACAUGUGUGUAGUUGUGAUGUUUAUGACACACGUACAUUGUAACUGAACAACCCAGUCUGACAAUUUAAUGUUUAUUUUGUUAAGAUAAAUAUUUAGGAUUUCUUGAAAUUCCACAAUUGAAAUACAAAUGAUGUUAUUUAGAGAAGUUAAACUUCACUAUAGAU